Acanthosepion pharaonis is the source of this 108-nucleotide non-coding RNA. The record is from the annotation of a GenBank genome assembly. Lineage: Eukaryota; Metazoa; Mollusca; Cephalopoda; Sepiida; Sepiidae.
UCAAAUCAGUGUGAAAACACCGUUUCUCCUUCGAUCGCCAAAGUUAAGCCCCGUCGAGCCCGGUUAGUACUUGGAUGGGGACUGCUAGCGAACACCGGUUACUGUAAG